GGACACUGACAGAUGAGUGGUGUAGUUCUGUGCCUGGGAACCAAACCAGGGCCACCAAAGCAGAGGAUGCUGAACUUAACCACUAGGCCACUGGGACUGGCCCUCUAUCUCUUUACUUUUAAUCUGUGUCUUUAUAUUUAAAGCAGGUUGCUUAUAGAUUGCAUAUCACUGGGUCUUAUUUUUUUAUCCACUCUGUCAAUCUCUGUCUUUUAAUUGGUGUAUUUAAACUAUUCAUAUUUAAAGGGAUGACCUGUAUAGUUGAAUUAAUGUCCAUAAUAUUUGAAUCUCUUCUCUACUUGUUGCACUUGUUCUUUGUUUCUUUUUUGAUCUUUCACUAUCUUUCUACCUUCUUUAGCUUUAAUGGAGCAUUUUUAAUAUUCCAUUUUUUUCUCUCUUAGCAUAUCAAGUAUUCUUUUUUAAAAUUUUUUAAUGAUUGCCCUAGAGUUUGAAAUAUACAUUUACAACUAAUCUAAGUUUAAAAUAGUGUGAUAUCACUUCAUGGGUAGUUCAGAUACUUUAUAAGAGUAUUCGCAAUUCCUUCCUCCCAUCCCUUAUAACAUUGCUGUCAUUCAUUGCACCUUUCCCUAAGCUAUGUUUACUCAGGUUACCCAAUAUAUUGGUGCUGUUAUCAUUUCAACAAAUACAUAUAUUGGAUCAAUUAAAAACUUAAAAUUAAAGGUUUUAGUUUACCUUUAUUUAUUCUUCCUUCAGUGCUCUUCUUUUUUUGUGUAGAUCUCAGUUUCUGACCUGUUUUCCUCUCUCUGAAGAACACCUUUAAUGUUCUUGCAAGGCAGACCUCCUGGCAGAAAAUUCAGUUUUUGUUUGUCUGAGAAAGUCUUUAAAUUCCCUUCACUUUUGAAGGACAAUUUUACUGGAUACAAAAUUCUAGUUUGGCCAAUUUCUAUUGACAUACCUUCAAGAUCGCUGAUUCUUUCCUCUGCCUUGCCCAGUCUACUGCACUUCCCAGGCCCUCCACUACGGUGUUGUAUAGAAGUGGUUGGAGAUGUCAGCCUUGAUGUGUUUCUGAUCUUAGAGGAAAGCAUUACAUCUUCCACCAGCAAAUACAAUGUUUCAUCACAGAUACCCUUUAUCAACACAGAUACUACCAAGACUGGAACUGCAGACAGUCUGCUCAUAGCCAGCUGCCUGAAGCCAUUGUCUCCUAAUUCUGCUUAUCCUGGGAUACCAUCCUGAUAGCUCUGCCUGCCCACACUCAGCAAUAUCAUGUCGUUUGUAUACACAACUGCAGAUGACAUGCUGAAUUUUUCCAAAUGCUUUUUCUCUGUCUUUUGAAGAUGUCAUAUGGUUUUCUCCUUUUUUCUAUUAAUAUGGUGAAUUAUAUUCUUUUGUUCACAUGUUAAACCAGAUAGGCUUUAUUUGUUUCUAGGAGAAACCUUAUUUUAUCAUGAUAUGUUAUACUUUUACAUACUGUUGUAGUCAAAUUGCUGAAGUUUUAUUUUAUUUUAUUUUAAAGAAUUUUUAAAUCCCUGUUUACAAGGAAUAUUGAUCUGUGUUUUCUUAUGAUGUCUUUGUCAGGUUUGGGAUUGAAAGUAAUAAAGACUUCCUAAGACAAUUGAGAAGUAGUCCUUCCUCUGUUUUCUGAAAGACAAUGUGUAGAGUUGGAAUUAUUUCUUCUUCAAGUGUUUGAUAGAAUUAACUUAUGAAACCAACUUAACUUCAAGUUUCUUUGUGGGAAGACUUUCUACUAAAAUUGAAUUUCUUUAAUAAUUAGUAAGCUACUAAUAUUUUCUAUUUCUUCCUUGGAUCAGUUUUGGUAAUUUGCAUCUUUCAAGAAAUUUAUCCCUUCCCUCUCUGUUGUCUGAUUUAAUGUCACGAUGUUAUAAUUCAUUCAUGAUUUUAUUAUGUCUUUAGGAUCUUCAGUGAUCUU
Molecule: long non-coding RNA, 1888 nt
Filed under: Equus caballus (horse)
Lineage: Eukaryota; Metazoa; Chordata; Mammalia; Perissodactyla; Equidae
Description: lncRNA (ENSECAG00000050037.1)
Source: RNAcentral